UACGUAGGUGGCGAGCGUUGUCCGGAAUUACUGGGUGUAAAGGGCGUGUAGGCGGGGGAGCAAGUCGGAUGUGAAAUUCCUAGGCUUAACCUGGGCGCUGCAUCUGAAACUGUUUCUCUUGAGUACUGGAGAGGAAAGUGGAAUUCCCAGUGUAGCGGUGAAAUGCGUAGAGAUUGGGAGGAACACCAGUGGCGAAGGCGGCUUUCUGGACAGUAACUGACGCUGAGGCGCGAAAGCGUGGGGAGCAAACAGGAUUAGAUACC
RNAcentral lists this ribosomal RNA (263 nucleotides) under uncultured bacterium. Its description in RNAcentral is "partial 16S ribosomal RNA". It matches the Rfam family "Bacterial small subunit ribosomal RNA", at positions 524 to 786 of the family's 1533-position model. The record is from RNAcentral.